GACGAACGCUGGCGGCGUGCUUAACACAUGCAAGUCGAACGGAAAGGCCCUGCUUUUGUGGGGUGCUCGAGUGGCGAACGGGUGAGUAACACGUGAGUAACCUGCCCUUGACUUUGUGAUAACUUCAGGAAACUGGGGCUAAUACCGGAUAGGAGCUCCUGCUGCAUGGUGGGGGUUGGAAAGUUUCGGCGGUUGGGGAUGGACUCGCGGCUUAUCAGCUUGUUGGUGGGGUAGUGGCUUACCAAGGCUUUGACGGGUAGCCGGCCUGAGAGGGUGACCGGCCACAUUGGGACUGAGAUACGGCCCAGACUCCUACGGGAGGCAGCAGGGGGGAAUAUUGCACAAUGGGCGGAAGCCUGAUGCGGCAACGCCGCGUGCGGGAUGACGGCCUUCGGGUUGUAAACCGCUUUCGCCUGUGACGAAGCGUGAGUGACGGUAAUGGGUAAAGAAGCACCGGCUAACUACGUG
RNAcentral lists this ribosomal RNA (468 nucleotides) under uncultured bacterium. RNAcentral's name for it is "partial 16S ribosomal RNA". It matches the Rfam family "Bacterial small subunit ribosomal RNA", at positions 28 to 507 of the family's 1533-position model. The record is from RNAcentral.